RNAcentral lists this ribosomal RNA (496 nucleotides) under uncultured bacterium. RNAcentral's name for it is "partial 16S ribosomal RNA". It matches the Rfam family "Bacterial small subunit ribosomal RNA", at positions 28 to 506 of the family's 1533-position model. The record is from RNAcentral.
GAUGAACGCUGGCGGCGUGCCUAAUACAUGCAAGUCGAGCGAACAGACGAGGAGCUUGCUCCUCUGACGUUAGCGGCGGACGGGUGAGUAACACGUGGAUAACCUACCUAUAAGACUGGGAUAACUUCGGGAAACCGGAGCUAAUACCGGAUAAUAUAUUGAACCGCAUGGUUCAAUAGUGAAAGACGGUUUUGCUGUCACUUAUAGAUGGACCCGCGCCGCAUUAGCUAGUUGGUAAGGUAACGGCUUACCAAGGCAACGAUGCGUAGCCGACCUGAGAGGGUGAUCGGCCACCCUGGAACUGAGACCCGGUCCAGACUCCUACGGGAGGCAGCAGUAGGGAAUCUUCCGCAAUGGGCGAAAGCCUGACGGAGCAACGCCGCGUGAGUGAUGAAGGUCUUCGGUUCGUAAAACUCUGUUAUUAGGGAAGAACAAAUGUGUAAGUAACUAUGCACGUCUUGACGGUACCUAAUCAGAAAGCCACGGCUAACUACGU